RNAcentral lists this transfer RNA (76 nucleotides) under Agrobacterium rubi. Its description in RNAcentral is "tRNA-Ala". It matches the Rfam family "tRNA". Rfam says of the family: Transfer RNA (tRNA) molecules are approximately 80 nucleotides in length. Their secondary structure includes four short double-helical elements and three loops (D, anti-codon, and T loops). Lineage: Bacteria; Pseudomonadati; Pseudomonadota; Alphaproteobacteria; Hyphomicrobiales; Rhizobiaceae. The record is from RNAcentral.
GGGGCCGUAGCUCAGUUGGGAGAGCGCCGCAAUCGCACUGCGGAGGCCGGGAGUUCGAACCUCCCUGGCUCCACCA